RNAcentral lists this ribosomal RNA (253 nucleotides) under uncultured bacterium. Its description in RNAcentral is "partial 16S ribosomal RNA". It matches the Rfam family "Bacterial small subunit ribosomal RNA", at positions 524 to 776 of the family's 1533-position model. The record is from RNAcentral.
UACGUAGGGGGCAAGCGUUGUCCGGAUUCAUUGGGCGUAAAGAGCGUGUAGGCGGCCAGGUAGGUCGGUUGUGAAAACUGGAGGCUCAACCUUCAGAGGUCGACCGAAACCAUCUGGCUAGAGUCCGGGAGAGGAGAGUGGAAUUCCUGGUGUAGCGGUGAAAUGCGCAGAUAUCAGGAAGAACCCCCGUGGCGAAAGCGGCUCUCUGGAACGGUACUGACGCUGAGACGCGAAAGCGUGGGGAGCGAACAGG